CCUACGGGUGGCAGCAGUGGGGAAUAUUGGACAAUGGGGGGAACCCUGAUCCAGCCAUGCCGCGUGUGUGAAGAAGGCCCUCGGGUUGUAAAGCACUUUCAGUGAGGAAGAACGCCUGGUGGUUAAUACCCAUCAGGAAAGACGUCACUCACAGAAGAAGCACCGGCUAACUCCGUGCCAGCAGCCGCGGUAAUACGGAGGGUGCGAGCGUUAAUCGGAAUUACUGGGCGUAAAGCGCGCGUAGGUGGCUUGAUAAGCCGGUUGUGAAAGCCCCGGGCUCAACCUGGGAACGGCAUCCGGAACUGUCAAGCUAGAGUGCAGGAGAGGAAGGUAGAAUUCCCGGUGUAGCGGUGAAAUGCGUAGAGAUCGGGAGGAAUACCAGUGGCGAAGGCGGCCUUCUGGACUGACACUGACACUGAGGUGCGAAAGCGUGGGUAGCAAACAGGAUUAGAUACCCCAGUAGUC
Molecule: ribosomal RNA, 465 nt
Filed under: Vreelandella stevensii
Lineage: Bacteria; Pseudomonadati; Pseudomonadota; Gammaproteobacteria; Oceanospirillales; Halomonadaceae
Description: partial 16S ribosomal RNA
Rfam family: Bacterial small subunit ribosomal RNA
Source: RNAcentral